GCGCAACCACUCAUUGUAAGCGCUGCUAUAGGAUUUGUUUUGGCAUGAGUGGAAUAUGAUGGUGAGAGAUGCAAUUACAAUAAGGAAACAUAUUGCAUGUAUUUUCACGUUCAUAAGAUAAAUGAUUACAAUGAUUGCUCGAAAUUACGGACAUUAAUGAAAUAAUGAAGCGGUAAAGAAAGCAGUUAAAGGAAAGAGAAAACAUGAAGAGUCAAGUUAGUAAUUGUGAUGGAAUAAUC
This 239-nucleotide long non-coding RNA is filed under the name Nicotiana benthamiana. Its description in RNAcentral is "long non-coding RNA (NBEN_LNC036307)". The record is from RNAcentral. Lineage: Eukaryota; Viridiplantae; Streptophyta; Magnoliopsida; Solanales; Solanaceae.